AUUAACCUGAACUUUGUUUUCCCUUCAGUUGUGAAUAAAUCUCUUCAAGAACAGACUGUGGAUGCAAAUGCACAUCAAGGCAAUGAAGGAAACAACACACUGGAGACUUUCAAGUUUUUGCUAAAACAAAAUCUGUGUGAAACUUCAACAUGGACAGAGAACGGAAGUUGUGCUCUGUGCCCUGAGGCAUGGCUUCUGCACAAAAACAAAUGCUACUGGUUUUCUAAUUCAAUGCAGUCUUGGGGAAAAAGCAAGGAAAAUUGUUUAACAAGGAAAACUCAGCUAGUUGUGUUGUAUGACCAGGAUGUGAAGGAAUUCCUCCACAGUAAGGGAAUAAUAAAAAUAUGGAUUGGACUUAGUGGCCCAUUACCAGAUAAGAACACAUGGAUCUGGGUGGAUGGCUCUCCAGUGAAACAGACACUGUGAGUACUCAGAUAUCUCUGGAGGAAAGGUUUUAUAAAUCAAUAAUUUUGUAAACUCACAAGCUACAGAGCUGAAAAUUGUUGUGAUUACCAAGUCUACAGCAUUCUCAAGUGUAUAAGGAACCAGUACAUCUAACAUCUUAUGCUACUAUAUACCUUACAAAAACCAUAUAUCUGAAAGACGAGGAAGUCUCCCAAAUACUCCACAUUUGCAAGUUGGACUUGUGUGGAUUUGAUAACAUGUGUAUUUGAAUAAAAUUUCCUUUUGAAUAAUCUUCCACCAGAAAUUGACCAGAGUCACACUGGAGGACCUACAGAGAGUAUACUGGAGAGAGUACUUCAACAAUUAUUAUACUUCUUUGUUGUUUAUUCGU
Molecule: long non-coding RNA, 796 nt
Filed under: Anolis carolinensis (green anole)
Lineage: Eukaryota; Metazoa; Chordata; Lepidosauria; Squamata; Anolidae
Description: lncRNA (ENSACAG00000045008.1)
Source: RNAcentral